CACCAGUUGGCCCAAUGGUCAAGGCGCCUGCCUACGAUUCUCCUGGGGAAUACCCAGUAUGGCUAGCCCGGAAAAUGGUACCCCCAAGAGUGUAAGCAGGAGAUUCUAGGUUCGAAUCCUGGGAUGGUCG
Molecule: transfer RNA, 130 nt
Organism: Puccinia sorghi
Lineage: Eukaryota; Fungi; Basidiomycota; Pucciniomycetes; Pucciniales; Pucciniaceae
Rfam family: tRNA
About the family: Transfer RNA (tRNA) molecules are approximately 80 nucleotides in length.
Source: Rfam